GUAUAGGUAUUGCCGAAUGGGUGGAAGAGGUGCAGGCCUGUUUGAGGGUACGACAUCUUUCACCAGCCGACCAAGCCCUUUUCAUCUAUGAUCAUCUAGAAGGCGAGCCCAGAGAAGAGAUUAAAUAUCGGCUUCCAGAGGAGAAAGACGAUCCCGAAAAGAUUUUGACUAUUUUACAGGAACUGUAUGGAUGUACUAAGUCAUAUGUUUCUCUGCAGGAAGAGUUCUUUUCAAGACGACAGCAGGAGGGAGAAACAUUGCAAGAGUUUUCGCAUGCUCUUAUUCCCCUCAUGUUCUGCUGAACAAAGAUGUGUUGCUUAGAGACCAAUUUGUUGAAAAUGUGCUUGAUUGUUUCUUACGCAGAGAAUUAAAACAGUAUGUCCGCAGCCACCCUACUGCCACCUUGAUGGAUGUUCGUCAUGAGGCUAUAUUAUGGGAGCGUGGAGGUAUGCCAGGGGGCGGGAGGGAUAGAAGUUACUCGGUUCCCCCAGCGCUAGGCUUUCAACACACUGUCCAGGAGGUCCCUUUUAGAGGUAGUCCGGCAGGUAUUGCACCCUAUGCAUCUGAAAUACGGG
Molecule: long non-coding RNA, 575 nt
Organism: Oreochromis aureus
Lineage: Eukaryota; Metazoa; Chordata; Actinopteri; Cichliformes; Cichlidae
Source: Ensembl